Molecule: ribosomal RNA, 939 nt
Filed under: uncultured archaeon
Lineage: Archaea
Description: bacterial SSU rRNA
Rfam family: Archaeal small subunit ribosomal RNA
Source: RNAcentral
AUAAGCCAUGCGAGUCAACAUAGCAAUAUGUGGCAUACGGCUCAGUAACACGUAGUCAACAUGCCCAGGGGACGUGGAUAACCUCGGGAAACUGAGGAUAAACCGCGAUAGGUCAUCACUUCUGGAAUGGGUAAUGACUUAAACCUAUAUGGCCCCUGGAUUGGACUGCGGCCGAUCAGGCUGUUGGUGAGGUAAUGGCCCACCAAACCUGUAACCGGUACGGGCUCUGAGAGGAGGAGCCCGGAGAUGGGCACUGAGACAAGGGCCCAGGCCCUAUGGGGCGCAGCAGGCGCGAAACCUCUGCAAUAGGCGAAAGCUUGACAGGGUUACUCUGAGUGAUUUCCGUUAAGGAGAUCUUUUGGCACCUCUAAAAAUGGUGCAGAAUAAGGGGUGGGCAAGUCUGGUGUCAGCCGCCGCGGUAAUACCAGCACCCCGAGUGGUCGGGACGUUUAUUGGGCCUAAAGCAUCCGUAGCCGGUUCUACAAGUCUUCCGUUAAAUCCACCUGCUUAACAGAUGGGCCGCGGAAGAUACUAUAGAGCUAGGAGGCGGGAGAGGCAAGCGGUACUCGAUGGGUAGGGGUAAAAUCCGUUGAUCCAUUGAAGACCACCAGUGGCGAAGGCGGCUUGCCAGAACGCGCUCGACGGUGAGGGAUGAAAGCUGGGGGAGCAAACCGGAUUAGAUACCCGGGUAGUCCCAGCUGUAAACGAUGCAGACUCGGUGAUGAGUUGGCUUAUUGCUAACUCAGUGCCGCAGGGAAGCCGUUAAGUUUGCCGCCUGGGGAGUACGGUCGCAAGACUGAAACUUAAAGGAAUUGGCGGGGGAGCACCACAAGGGGUGAAGCCUGCGGUUCAAUUGGAGUCAACGCCGGAAAUCUUACCGGGGGCGACAGCAGAGUGAAGGUCAAGCUGAAGACUUUACCAGACAGCUGAGAGGAGGUG